CUACACGGGUUUCUAAUCCUGUUUGCUCCCCACACUUUCGCACCUCAGCGUCAGUAUCGAGCCAGUGAGCCGCCUUCGCCACUGGUGUUCCUCCGAAUAUCUACGAAUUUCACCUCUACACUCGGAAUUCCACUCACCUCUCUCGAACUCAAGACCAGAAGUAUCAAAGGCAGUUCCGGGGUUGAGCCCCGGGAUUUCACCCCUGACUGACUGGUCCGCCUGCGCGCGCUUUACGCCCAGUAAUUCCGAACAACGCUAGUCCCCUCCGUAUUACCGCGGCGGCUGGCAC
This 289-nucleotide ribosomal RNA is filed under the name uncultured Paracoccaceae bacterium. Its description in RNAcentral is "uncultured Rhodobacteraceae bacterium partial 16S ribosomal RNA". Lineage: Bacteria; Pseudomonadati; Pseudomonadota; Alphaproteobacteria; Rhodobacterales; Paracoccaceae. The record is from RNAcentral.